RNAcentral lists this ribosomal RNA (377 nucleotides) under Pandalus hypsinotus. Its description in RNAcentral is "partial 16S ribosomal RNA". It matches the Rfam family "Bacterial large subunit ribosomal RNA", at positions 1947 to 2531 of the family's 2925-position model. The record is from RNAcentral. Lineage: Eukaryota; Metazoa; Arthropoda; Malacostraca; Decapoda; Pandalidae.
UGUGCGAAGUUAGCAUAAUCAGUAGUCUUUUAAUUGGAGGCUGGAAUGAAGGGUCGGACAAGGGGGAAGCUGUCUUUUUUACAAUUUUUGAAUUUUACUUUUAAGUGAAAAGGCUUAAAUGGGUUGGGGGGACGAUAAGACCCUAUAAAAUUUUACAAAAUUAGGAUUUUUUUUUAAAUUAAGGUUUAAAUUCUAUAAGUUCUUGUUUGUUGUGUUGGGGCGGCAAAGAUAAAAAUUAGUAACUGUCAUUUAAUCAGAAUAAGUAUAAUUAGUUUAGUUGAUCCUUUAUUAGAGAUUAAAAGAUUAAGUUACUUUAGGGAUAACAGCGUAAUUUUCCCUGAGAGUUCUUAUCGACGGGAGUAGUUGCGACCCCGAUU